Molecule: long non-coding RNA, 745 nt
Filed under: Heterocephalus glaber (naked mole-rat)
Lineage: Eukaryota; Metazoa; Chordata; Mammalia; Rodentia; Bathyergidae
Description: lncRNA (ENSHGLG00000041711.1)
Source: RNAcentral
CUGCAAAUGCACUAAUGAUGCAUAAUUAUCAUCGCUGCAAGCCUUCUACACAUCUGGGCAAAUGGCUCCAGCUUCCAUGAUGAUUCUCCUAUUUUACCCAAUUCUGUGUUUGAAUGGUUCCAUACUGCCCCUGGUAGCAGUAACAGUUGGCUUCUAGGAGUUAUUUAGGACUUACUGAGAUGAAUACUUGAAGGGUCUUUCUGUUGUGACGCACAUGGUCUGAGAUCAAGUGGACCCUCUUGUAAUCUAAGCUGGGAGCCUAAGAGCUUAGUUUUCCUGGAUCACAUACUCCUCAUCCUCAACUCCCUUCCUAUCUUUGGAGUGUGUCAGGGGACAAAUCUCCACCUCUUUCUGCCAGUUCCCCCUCCUGAGCCUGCAUCACAUAAUGCUGUAAAAAACAGCAUUAAAAAUUUGCAGUACCUAACACUCGGAAGCCACUGGAGAAUCCACUGACAGAUUAACCAGAGAGCUUCAACAUCUACAAGCUUUGAUCCAAUAUGCAACCCACCCAAAUGGGCUGAGAUGCCCUGAAGAGUCAUUCUCCACAGCUGGAAACAAUUCCGCCUUUCAGACUGAAGCCUGGAUGUGAAAGGAGCCCAUGACCGCGGCAUCUUCCAGGUGUGGCCAAGCUGCUGUGGAGCUCCAGGGCAGCCCAGGCACAGCCACACCUUCCCACCUUUCCUUUAUUUGUCAUUCAGCUACUCGUUUCGGGAGUAACCUCUUUCACUUCCAUCACUGCACCCAG